This 65-nucleotide transfer RNA is filed under the name Atkinsoniella uniguttata. RNAcentral describes it as "tRNA-Gly". Lineage: Eukaryota; Metazoa; Arthropoda; Insecta; Hemiptera; Cicadellidae. The record is from RNAcentral.
AUUCUUUUAUUAUAAAAAGUAUAACAAGCUUCCAACUUGAAGGUUUAAAAAAUUUAAAUUGAAUA